GGACUGCCCGAUGGAGGGGGAUAACUACUGGAAACGGUAGCUAAUACCGCAUAACGUCGCAAGACCAAAGAGGGGGACCUUCGGGCCUCUUGCCAUCGGAUGUGCCCAGAUGGGAUUAGCUAGUAGGUGGGGUAACGGCUCACCUAGGCGACGAUCCCUAGCUGGUCUGAGAGGAUGACCAGCCACACUGGAACUGAGACACGGUCCAG
RNAcentral lists this ribosomal RNA (209 nucleotides) under uncultured bacterium. RNAcentral describes it as "partial 16S ribosomal RNA". It matches the Rfam family "Bacterial small subunit ribosomal RNA", at positions 123 to 334 of the family's 1533-position model. The record is from RNAcentral.